This 210-nucleotide non-coding RNA is filed under the name Schistocephalus solidus. Its description in RNAcentral is "Eukaryotic large subunit ribosomal RNA". It matches the Rfam family "Eukaryotic large subunit ribosomal RNA", at positions 967 to 1170 of the family's 3401-position model. The record is from Rfam by way of RNAcentral. Lineage: Eukaryota; Metazoa; Platyhelminthes; Cestoda; Diphyllobothriidea; Diphyllobothriidae.
UUUCCCUCAGGAUAGCUGGCACUCAUUCGCAAGAUCAGUUUUAUCCGGUAAAGCGAAUGAUUAGAGGUACUGGGUUCGAAACGAGCUCAACCUAUUCUCAAACUUAAAAUGGGUGAGAUACCCGGCUCGCUUUAUAGGAGUCGGGCGCUCAAUGUGCGACUGCCAAGUGGGCCAUUUUUGGUAAGCAGAACUGCGCUGUGGGAUGAACCA